UGUUUAUUUCCACUUUUGAUCUCCUGAUCAGUCUUGACGUGUUCUUAUUUGAAGUCAAUUAAUUGUAUGUUACUAAUAUUGUAGGUUACGAAGGGACUAUUGAGAGGGCUUAUUGUAGUUGUUGAUUACUGGUCAUGUGACUAUUGAGAGGGAUUAUUUGAAUGUUAUCCAAAAGACAACACAGGAUAUCCAUGUAUGUUGAUGAUGAUGAUGAUGAUCAGGGUAGGAGCCGGUCUCUUGUCAGAAAUACGCAAAAGGUAGAACAUGGACGUGUUAUCAAGUGAAACUCUAUGCACUGAUCAAAAGUGGUAUGCUAUCACCAGAGGUAGUCAUUAUAAGAAAUCUUGAUCCUGAAGUUGUAGUCGGUGGCAGGGAUGCUUUGAGUAAGAUAUUCUACUCUCGCUUUUUUGACUGCUGAGUACAAUUCUAAAGCUUCAAGUCUGAAAACAAGAUUGAAGUGGAUGAGUUUUUCAAGGACAUGUGCAAGUGGUUAGGGUCAUUAGAAGUUGGAUGCUCUAGCACUACUGUUGUAAAUAUUCAUUGUUUGAGAACAAGUCUGUAUGUUUAACCUUUUAAUCUAAUUGGUUCACUGAAGACCUACAAUGUAUGUAGUUGAUAAGGUCAUUGAUAACAAUAGUUGGUGCUAUUUAUAUCAAAUUUUUUUAAUGGUACUGUGAUGGAAUUAAUAAUGGAAUCCAAUAUAUUAAUUUUCCCC
This is a long non-coding RNA of Erigeron canadensis, 715 nucleotides long. RefSeq lists it as uncharacterized. The record is from RefSeq and is a predicted model, not a curated record. The transcript has 4 exons. Lineage: Eukaryota; Viridiplantae; Streptophyta; Magnoliopsida; Asterales; Asteraceae.